This 504-nucleotide ribosomal RNA is filed under the name uncultured Bacillota bacterium. RNAcentral describes it as "bacterial SSU rRNA". It matches the Rfam family "Bacterial small subunit ribosomal RNA", at positions 355 to 849 of the family's 1533-position model. Lineage: Bacteria; Bacillati; Bacillota. The record is from RNAcentral.
UAGGGAAUCUUCCGCAAUGGACGAAAGUCUGACGGAGCAACGCCGCGUGAGCGAAGAAGGCCUUCGGGUCGUAAAGCUCUGUUGUUAGGGAAGAACAAGUAUCGGAGUAACUGCCGGUACCUUGACGGUACCUAACCAGAAAGCCACGGCUAACUACGUGCCAGCAGCCGCGGUAAUACGUAGGUGGCAAGCGUUGUCCGGAAUUAUUGGGCGUAAAGCGCGCGCAGGCGGUCCUUUAAGUCUGAUGUGAAAGCCCACGGCUCAACCGUGGAGGUCAUUGGAAACUGGGGGACUUGAGUGCAGAAGAGGAGAGUGGAAUUCCACGUGUAGCGGUGAAAUGCGUAGAGAUGUGGAGGAACACCAGUGGCGAAGGCGACUCUCUGGUCUGUAACUGACGCUGAGGCGCGAAAGCGUGGGGAGCAAACAGGAUUAGAUACCCUGGUAGUCCACGCCGUAAACGAUGAGUGCUAAGUGUUAGAGGGGUUUCCGCCCGUUUAGUGCUGC